UCCUGUUCGCCAGUCGUCAUUGUCUUUGCGUGUACUAUGACACUGUUGCGAAUUGGG
RNAcentral lists this microRNA precursor (57 nucleotides) under Heligmosomoides polygyrus. Its description in RNAcentral is "microRNA hpo-mir-63b precursor". Its record names the gene hpo-mir-63b. Lineage: Eukaryota; Metazoa; Nematoda; Chromadorea; Rhabditida; Heligmosomidae. The record is from miRBase by way of RNAcentral.